Molecule: long non-coding RNA, 244 nt
Filed under: Setaria viridis
Lineage: Eukaryota; Viridiplantae; Streptophyta; Magnoliopsida; Poales; Poaceae
Description: long non-coding RNA (SVIR_LNC003917)
Source: RNAcentral
AAAAUUCAGCCGAUUCAAGUUUUGUGCAAAGGCUCUGGUGGGUCAGUUUUUGAAGGGCAGACCGUCCGCCGUACAAAAGUACAGAGGGACAUGUUUUUGCAUAGUUUCUGGUGGUUUUAUGGUGGAUGGCAGACCAUUUGCUAGAGUCGAUUGGACCAUCCGUGCCUCCGCCGUGGCACACCGGCGAGCUCGCCGGCGGCGGCUCCGUUCACGGUUUUGGAUGGGGUUUGUUUCUGUGGGUUCC